UCUUUUCUUCUUCUUCUCUCGUUCCUUUUUUUCUUCUUUGUUCCGUCUCCCCACCACAAUCACCACCAGCAGAAACAAUAGAUCUACGAACACCAACAACAACUUUAUUCUCCCCCGACACACUACUGCACCUACGUAUCUCACCACUACCACCACCCUCCUCCGCCUCCUUCAAUUCCUUCACCACCAACACCAUUUCCACUACCGUAAACAUCACCACCCCCAACUCCUCUCCACGUCACAGCAACCAUAAUCAAAACCCUAACCAUAGUUUCAUUUUAAAAAUCAGAAGGAAACACGUGUGGAUCUGGUGAUGUUUUGAUGAUUCUGUAAGAUCGGAUGAAGAAAUUGUUGAAAUUAGGGUUGUGACUGUAAUUGCAAUUGAAGAACAAGAAGAAGAGAGAUGGGUUGGUAACGAAUUGAUGAUUGAGAUCAAUUUUUUAAGGAAAGGAUGAUGAAGUGGUGAUGUUCCUAACAAGGGUCUGAGGAAUUGGAUCCAACAAUUUUCUUCAAUUUCAUGCCUAAAUUUACUUACUUUUGCCUUCUUCCAUUUUCACCAUCACCUUCCUUCUUCACCACCACUAAGAACAAGCAACACUGUUAUAGACAACUGAAAAUUGAUUUUAAAGGAACAAGAUGAAUCUUCAUAGACACUGGUUAUCUGUUGUUUUAAGAAAUGGAUUUUGUAACCGAGAUUGUUGGUGGUUUGUCGGGGACAAGGGAGAUGAUUGUCGUGUUUGUUAUUGUCUUUGAAAUGAUUAUAUUGAUGAUGAUGGCCUUUGGGUUCCUGGUAUUUUCAUGAAACGGGGCCAGACUAAUGGGCAAUGAUUUUUGUUUUGCCCAAAUGAGGCUCCAGGCUUGGAUGAUUAUUGAGGUGAUGAGUUAAGAAGAUGUAUACCAAGUACGAGAUUGAGGUUACAACAGUUGUUGCCACAAAUUUCAACAAAGUUGUUGACAUAAGCUGCUACCCAGUGGAUAGUGCAAAAAGAUAAAAUAUGAAGCACAGGCUAAUAGGAAUAGGAAUCCAGGGUCUUGACUUGUAUAAUACCUCUUGUAAUUUCUUUUUUAGGUACAUAUAGUUCAUGAAUUUAAUAGGAAUAGAAAUACCGGCCAAUAUAUAGUUCAUGAAUUUCGAUUACAUUGAAUUAUUUUAAUUGUCAUUUUGACUUGUAUAAUACCUCUUUAAUUUCUUUUGUAGGUACACAACAAGUCCACAUAUGUUCAGUGUAGAUACUGAAAAUAAACUUGCACGAAACCAAUUUUGGUUUCGUCUGUUUUUUUCUUCAUUUUGCUGAAACCAAUUUUGGUUUCAUCUAAUUUUUGUUGAAACCAAUUUUGGUCUCAUCUAAUUUUUGUUGAAGCCAAUUUUGGUUUCAUCUAAUUUUUGGAAUUUUUUGUCAAUGAAACCAAUCUUGUUGAUCAUAUGAUAAUAUUAUUGGUGGGGGUUUUACAAAAUGUUAUGAAACUGAAUUACCUGUGAUAAUGUUUAGGUAGUUGUAUGGUUUGAAUUCUAGCUGUAACUAAUAAUGUUGCUGAGGUUUGAAUGAGUUUUUUGUUUCAUCUAAUAUGUGAUUUUUUUUCUUUCAGAUUUUAUGUUGACGAAACCAAUAUUGUUGGUGUUUCAGGUAAAUGGGUCGUGGAGUCAGUUAUGGAGGAGAUCAGAGUUCUUUAAGAUCUCUCUUUGCUAGUCCUGUGGAAUCAAAACUAUAUGUACCUGUUGCACUUGUUGCUGCUUCAACCGCCACUGCUGCUGCUGCUCAGACCCCCUAGUUCAGGUGAAACAAAAUAUACCUACAGCUAACAAGUCUUCCCCCUCUCCCCUAGUGUAUAAAGAUAAACUGGGUCCAUCAAGAGUAGUGCAAGGUUCUCUAUCCAAUAACUAUUAUCGCGCUAAUGGCCAAAAACAAUGGAAAAUUCAUCCCUGUGAGUUUUUAACUAAGAUCUGCGCAGUUUCAUCCAUCUUAUCUCAUUCUUAGACUAUGACUGAUAUAUCUGCGAAACAACACAUCUGUAUAUUUGUAAUUUUGUGUCUAUUUUGAAUGGAUUGCUUAGAUGUUUUGUGGUUACAAUAGUUACUUAUAUAUGCGUUUCUGGAAACAUGAUCGAUCUUCGACUAAGGUUCACUUUGUUUAGUUACGUUUCAUCCGUUAGUGUUUUCGAAGCUUUCCGAAAUAGCAUUUAGACAUGCCAUGUUAAUCAUGACAUUUCAAUGAUGUCUUUUCUAUCAAUGGACAUGUAUAAUACCUCUUAUAAUUUUUC
This is a long non-coding RNA of Papaver somniferum (opium poppy), 2259 nucleotides long. RefSeq lists it as uncharacterized. Lineage: Eukaryota; Viridiplantae; Streptophyta; Magnoliopsida; Ranunculales; Papaveraceae. The record is from RefSeq and is a predicted model, not a curated record. The transcript has 4 exons.